RNAcentral lists this long non-coding RNA (1025 nucleotides) under Equus caballus (horse). Its description in RNAcentral is "lncRNA (ENSECAG00000057686.1)". The record is from RNAcentral. Lineage: Eukaryota; Metazoa; Chordata; Mammalia; Perissodactyla; Equidae.
CAGCCUUUCUUCUAAAAUCACUUCUGUCAGUAGUUUCGCCCUCACUCUUUUCACAGCAAAUAUAACAGAGCUGCCUCUGGUUACUCAAGUCUUCAGAAGCUCUGCAAAAUUUAAUAAAACAGCAAACAUAGUUAUAUAUCCAGCAGCCAUUUUAGACAAUUAAAUGCAAUUUUCAGUUUCACUACACAAAUUUGGUAAAUUGGAGUCCAGGCAUUGCUUUGAACUCUGAUGAAAGGAGUAAUUUCUAUUCCAAGGAAGGCUGUGUCUGAUUUAGACUUUCGCCAUCACCAUCCACAGCUGUCUUGACCACUUUAUUCCACUAGAUGGCAGACUUGGGAUGCUACAUGUAACUAACUUCUGAACAAUAAGCAAAAGACUAAGAAAAAACAAGACCAUAAAAAGGCGCUCACUUGGUUUAAGAUGAAAAAGUUACGGUGACUGCCCUCCAGAGCGACAACCUAGAAAAAGGAGAGACGUGGUGGGAGAGCGAGAAGACGGCGGGUGCAGCGCCAGGAGGCUGUGGCACCAAGUAGCGCGACCUCGAAAUCAGAGUGCAGGACCCAGAACAGAGCGGCGGGUGCGGGACCGCAAAGCUUCGGUCACAGACUUUGGGCUUCACCACCAUGUGACUUGCUUUGAUCAAUGGAAUGUGAGUGGAUGUGAUAGUAUUCCAGUUCCUAAACGAGACUUUAUGAUGUGAUGUGUGUUACCAACUGCUUUCUUGCACUCCUGCUCUGCACCAAGAGAAUAUCCCAAGUAGGUGGCACUCUUUCGACUUUGGCCCUGGAAUGAAAAGACACAUGGAGCAGACCUGAACCUACCUGCAGCCUCGAUUAGAACUGUAGCAGCAAUGUGUGAUGAAAAGGAAGGAGAAAUAAAUGCUGGUUUUUGUAAGUCACUGAGAUUCUUGAGGUUAUUUGUUACACAGCAAAACCUAAUGAAAGCAGACUAAGAUGCUAAGUAAACAGAUCAGAGGCAAUGGACAACAUGCUUCUUCCAAAUGUAACAUAAACUGUCUUCAUAAU